Taeniopygia guttata (zebra finch) is the source of this 4587-nucleotide non-coding RNA. Lineage: Eukaryota; Metazoa; Chordata; Aves; Passeriformes; Estrildidae. The record is from RefSeq and is a predicted model, not a curated record.
ACCCAUCAUGGGGAGAAAUUCCAGGCCUGGAAUUGUUUAUUUGUUGGGUUUUGUCUUUUUUUCCUCAGUGAGAAAUUCCAGUGCAAAAGUCCAACCUGGUUUUGGUGGCUGGGAUGUGGAGGAGAAGAUUAUGUGGCCACCUUCUUCUUCACCUUCUCCACAGUAGCAGAAGAGUCACCAGAGGAGUUUUUCUGAUCUUCUCAUCCCAAUUCAGGAAAAAAAAAAUAAAAUAAAUUUCCAGCUUCUUGGUUUCACUCCAGGAUCCUCUGGAAUUCACUGUGGGAAUCUGCACCAGUGGCUGCCCCCGGAUCCGAGUCCCUCUGGUUCUCAGGGGCUCCUUCAAACACGCCCUGGUCCGUGCUGCAGUUCCAGGAGGUGCUGGACCUUCAGGAGGUGACGUCUGGAGCACUGCAGCCCUGCCCUGGAGGAAGAAGCCCAGCCCUUCGUGCUGCUCUGUGACUAGUGACCCCCUGCUUUUUAUCUUGGAUUCCCUUGGCUUGCUUCAGUUGGACUCAGUCAUCUUAAGGUCUUUUACAACCUGAAGAAUUUUGUGAUCUGACUGAUGGAGCACUGGCUGUCCCUAAAAAAGCCCAUCCUAUGUGAUUUGUAAGAGUGGGAUAGAGAACAGAGCCAAGAGGCUCCCACCAAACACAGCUCCCCCUGCCCUGCUUCGACCUGGAGCUGCACCAGGAGGGACCAGCACAUCCCAGUUCCUCCUGGGAGCUGGGAAAGGGGACAAGAUCACAACCCUGCCAUGUCCCACACAUUGUGACCACAGCUUUUCCUCUCCACAAGCUCUGGUUGGGACGCCCCUGCUGCUGUCGCCUCUCCAAGAGAUGUUCCUCCCCCAUCUCCUUAUAUCCUGUAUUUACAACAGACUGGCAAAAAUAAAAAUGGCCAAAAAAGGAGCGUUGGCACUGAUUAAAUUUAGAGACCAGAUCCUGGGCAUCCCCUCCUUGUCUAGAUCUUUGCCAUCCUGGGGCAUCGUGGCAGCAAAGUGAUUUUCUCCAGAAGCACAAUCCUCGUGCUUCCCACAGGCCUCGCUCCUACCUGGCAGCAAACAAAACCCAAUUCAUGCUGCUACUAAAUGCUUUCCUCCAGCAACCCCGAGCACAAACAAACACCCCAAAGAAACCAAGCACAGAAAAGCCUGCAGAAAGCAGCUGUUCCCCUCCUUCAGAGAGGAGCCAACGUGCUUGUUCCUUCAGAGAUGCGCAACGAGGGGAGCUGCGAAGCGCUGAAAUGACAUCUUGUAACGCGCCGGCUGUCACGCUCAUGGGCACCCCUGCUCCUGCUGCUGCACAGCUGAACAGCCAGAGCCAGCGUGGCAGCCCUGGCACUCCGUGUUCUCACCCUGCCUAAUUAGUAAUAUGUUAAUUUGACAAUGAGAUGUUGUUCUUUGCGGAAAAUUUCCUGCGCCGCGCUUGGGUUCUUUGCGGGUUUUUUUGGCGGCUGCUUCUCGGCUCGCGGAGUUUUUUGUUUUCUCGGUUUUCUCAGCCCGGGCAGAGCAGAGCCUGAGGGAUCUUUUUGGCACAUCCUUGGAAAUGUCCAAGGCCAGGUUGGAUGGGAUUGGGAGCAAAGCCUCCUUUCAGCCCCAUCUCCCCCAGAGCUGAAGGUUGGGCCGCCCCUGCUCCUCACUGCCACCAGCACGAUGCUGAAUUUCAGCAGGGAGCACCAGCCACUAAAAAAACCCCAAAAUUGUCCCUUUUUUGGAUUUUCCCUUCAAGCAGGUUGAUCCAAGACCCUGUUGAAACAGAAAUCAAAAACCUGCCAGACUCGAAACAUUAAUUAAGACACACAACAGGGAGAAAGGGGGAGAAGGAAGGAGGGGAGCAUCCAUUCAGGAAUUAUCUGCUCCACAAAGCAGCGUUCAUGGCUUCCACACACAUCCAUCAUUUUUGGGGAGGGGAAAAGCAAGAAAUUAAAUCCAACCCCACAGGAAGUUUGUCCACCAUGGAUUUAAUUUCCCAACUUGCAUCAGGCAAAGAUUAACCUUGCUGAAGGGCACCAGUGGAGCAGGGAGGAAUGCACAAAUUAAUCCCUGCUAUGAGUUUCUUCAGGAGGAAACACUGAGCAAGAUUAAAUAUUUAUUGUAUAUAAAUACCUUCUUUCCCACCUCCCCCAUUUCCUCUCCUGAUCUGCAUUUCAGGCUCCUUCCAGCAGAGCCAGUUUGCCCAGCAAGAGUGCAAGGGUUUGUUUUUCCUCCUGGAUGAGGAGGAAGGUUUGAGGAAUAAUUCAUUUGCCACCUUGAUUUUUCCUUGCCUCCCCUCCCGUGAUUGAUACCGUGGCACUUAAAGGGGAGAAAAUCAAGUUGUGCUGAUCUAUGACCAGACACUAUUUAUUCUUGUAGAACCUCAUCUGCAAUUUUCUUCAGCAUCUCCAGAAUUAAAAUCCCUUUGCAAUCUCUCCAGCUGGCUGAAAAUGUGCCAUUUCCCUGCCUCCCCUCCUCAGAUGUCUUUUGCCUCUGAUCAGGGCACGCCGUUAUCGAUGAUGUGAUUCUGCUUUACAUUCAGAUGCUCCUGGGGUUUUUUGGACCAUAAAUAAUGUUCCUGUGCAGCCCAGGCAGAAUCAUUCUGAGGGUUUGGGGCUUUUUUUUUUUUUUUCCCUUUUCUUAUUCCUUUUCCUUCUCUCUUUCCCUUUCUAUCUUUCUUUCUCCAGCUCUUGCAAGGGGUGAUAAAUUCAUCAUUUCUUCCCCCGUAGCAACCGCCAACGUGCAAUAUGGAGCCUGUUCCUUCACACCUGGGCUUUCAGCUCAGGGGUGACCCUGCAGACAGAGAAAAAAAAACUUUUUCCAUGGAUCCUGGGCUUCCUGGGAGGAACAAACCAGCCUGGAACAGAGCAUGGCUCAGCACUUUAAUCCUAGAAAGCAGCAGAGAGGCACGGUGUCCCUCUGUUGUCGACAGCCUGCUCCAUGCUGGGGACAUUGCUGGAGCAGAUGAAGAUGAAAACUGGGUUUUUGAGAGAUUUCCGUGUUUUCCAUGGAUAUUCCUCCUUGAUGGGAUGAUGGGAUUUGGGCUGGCAUGGAUGUGCCCUCUGGAUCCUGCCCCAGCCUUCUGGAGUAGAGAAGUUUUUUAGGGUUGCAGUCACCAGGCUAAAUAUCAUAUUUAGUAAGCUCAAAGUGGCACAUUUUACUUAAAUCUAAAUGGAUUUCUACCUUGUUAAAUUUUUACUCUGUCUCAACACAAUUCAUCCUCCUCUCCCUGCUCUAGAACUUUCUUCCUGCUGCCCAGGGAUGGGGAGAACUCCCAGGCUCCAUCAGGAUGGGUUUUCCAAUCAUUUUGGGGAUCCCUACCUUCAAUUUCCAGCACCAGCAGCCCUUUGUGGCUCCAAGGGAGCCCACCUGGAGAUGUCAGUGCCACAGAGCCAUUCCCCACUGGAAAAGGCUUUGCUGGGGCCCUUCCAGCAGCCUCCACACGGCUGAAUUCCUGUUUGUUUUUUAAAAACCCGAGAUUUUUGCGUUGUUUUGUCUCUCAUUUUGCAGAGUUAAUCGGAUUGGCAAGCACAGAAAGGAGCUGUCAGGGGAAGCAGCUGCCGAGCAGCACAAAGCUGGGUGUGUAAUCCAAGCUUUACCCACAGCCUUAUUAAGAUCGAGAUGUCUCAUUACAGGCUGGAUUUCCAGCUGGAUUUCACAGCUUUUGUGAUUUUUCCCUUUCACCCCUUCCUCUUCCCAACGUUAUUUUUUAUUUUUUUUUUCCCACUCAUAUAAUUCACUGCUUUUCGCUGUGGGGGAAAGACUUUGGUUGAACACGUGUUGCACUGAGCAACAUCCUCAAUUUAAAUGGAAAUUCUAUCAAUAACAAAUGUUCUCUCUCUUUCCUCGCCCGGGGAAGGGCCUGAAAAUAUCAUUCAGAGGGGAAAAAAAAACCCCUCCAGAGCUCAAAGCCAGCACAAGAAGGACCACAGUCCUCUAGCAGGACCAAUUACAGAUAAUAAAGUGCCCAUUUGUUGCAGCUGAGAUGGUGUAAAUGAGCUGGAGGAAAAAGCAGUUCGGGAAUCCAGGCUGAAAAAUCAAAUGAAGGGUGAGGGGAAGUGGGAAUCUCCUUAUGGAGUGACUGUGAUCAUUUAUUGCAGCAGCUUUGGGCAGAAAUAGAGGCAGGGAAAGGGAUCCUGGAACAGCUCCUGGAAGGAAUUUUGGGUGAUCCAGUCAAGGGCAUGAGGAGUUUAAGGUGGGUAAAGGGACCAAAGGCAUGACUGGGUCCCAGCCUGAUCUCCUCUCCAAGUCCUCUUCUCUUUUCCCAUUGUUAAUUUAUCAUUUCAAGCCUGGCUUGUUGGGGCAGAGAUUUUUCUGUGUCAGGUAAUGCUGGGAAUGCCCUGCAACACAUGGGAAAAACCUAAACACUGAAAUCUAAGUUAAAAUACAUUUGUCCCUCUUCUCCAAGGGAGAAAACCUAUGAAAAAAUAUUCAGUUUUUCCACCGUCACCCAAAAUUCCAGUAAUCUUCAGAAAUUACUCUUUUCUGGUUGAGAAACUUUUCCAAAGGAGAAACUUUGCCAGGUGUCCAUAUUGUUAGGAAGCAUUUUACUCCUGAAAGAGAUGCUUUGAGGGCAAUUUUUCAGCUGGCUGCAGAAAUAAAUCAUUGAGCAUUGC